CGGAAUUCCUCCGGUGUCUUAUUACACUCUUUUACUCAUUGAAAUCCCAAAUGAACACCCUUUUAAAACCCCUCGGAAUCCCAAUUGAAUCCGAAGCGCCAGUUUUGUACUCUGUCCUGCAUAAAACCCCAAUUGGAGCACCGAGAGCCAAGCUAGCAGAAGAAGAUGGCGCACGGCGGCGGACCAAGGCAGGUGAAACUGGACCGAGAGAGCGAGCUCAGAAUCGAAGUCGGCUACGACGCCCCUCUCAAGCUCCGCCUGCUCAGCGGCACCGCUGAGAUCUUCGGCACCGAGCUCCCCCCUGAUUUCUGGCUCACCUUCCCGCCCAGGCUCAAAUUUGCUGUUUUUACUUUGAACGGAGCAACAAUUGAGAUGGAGGGCAGUACGGAAACCGAGUACACGGCUGAUGAGACUCCAAAUAUCAGCUAUGUGAAUGUGCACGCCGUACUGGAAGAACGGAGACACCGCGCUAAACCCUUGCCGCCCGAUGACCCCAAUUCUCAGGGCCCUAGGGUGAUUGUUGUGGGACCAACAGAUUCUGGGAAAAGUACCUUGUCGAAAAUGCUUCUUAGUUGGGCAGCUAAGAAGGGAUGGAAACCUACUUUCGUCGACUUGGAUAUUGGACAAGGAGCUAUAACAAUUCCAGGAUGUAUUGCCGCUACUCCUAUUGAAAUGCCUAUUGAUCCGGUUGAAGGAAUUCCUCUUGAUAUACCUCUCGUUUAUUUCUAUGGGCACACAACUCCUAGUAAUAAUGUAGAUUUAUACAAAGUGCUUGUGAAGGAGCUUGCUCAAGUGGUAGAAAGACAACUUUCUGGGAAUGCUGAAUCUCGAGCUUCUGGAAUGGUGAUCAAUACCAUGGGAUGGAUAGAAGGUCAAGGCUACGAGUUGCUUCUUCAUGCAAUUGAUACAUUCAAUGCCAAUGUUGUCUUAGUUCUAGGCCAGGAAAAACUUUGGAGCAUGAUCAGAAAUGUACUAAAGAACAAGCCUGGUGUGGACGUUGUAAAACUUCAAAAAUCUGGGGGUGUUGUAUCCAGGAAUGCCAAAUUCCGUCAAAAAUCCAGGAGUCAUAGGAUAAGGGAGUAUUUCUAUGGCCUUGCAAAUGAUCUCAGCCCACAUUCUAAUAUUGCGAAUUUUAGUGACUUUUCUGUCUUUCGGAUUGGUGGCGGGCCACAGGCCCCACGUUCGGCUUUGCCAAUUGGUGCAGAGCCUGCUGCAGACCCUACAAGAUUGGCGCCUGUGAAUAUUAACCGGGAUUUGCUGCAUACCGUUCUUGCUGUUUCAUUUGCCAAGGAGCCUGAUCAAAUUAUUUCUAGUAAUGUUGCUGGGUUUGUCUCUGUCACAGACGUCAACAUUCAGAGAGAAGAGAGAGACAUGUAAAAGCAUUCAGCACCUUUUGAUCUUUGUCAUCCCCACCCUCCAUCCACGUGCGUCCUCUCAUACAUUCACCUACUCAGUCAACCAUUUUUCUUUGUUUUCCUCUACAUUUUAUAAUCCCAAUCAAUCGCUCUAAUUAUAGCGAAUUUCAAUGACUUCAACGGAUUAGAUUGAAUCUCGAAUUCAAAAUCCAACAUGGUAACAUAUGAUUAGUGUAAACCCCUGAAUUAUGAAAUGAACUAUUUAAACCCCAUGCCAAAGGGACAAACUCAACCCUCUCUCUCACUCCUCCCUCCCUCCCCAAUUCUGCCGCGUUCCUCUUCCGCCAUGCCAAGAACCGACGUCCCCUUUAUGAACGUUGGAACUUCGGUUAAUCCUCCACAAAUCUCAGCUGGGAUAUUCAGACAAAGGAGAUCAUUGGGCGUGACACUAAGAAAGAUGGGUUAUAUUAUGUGGAUGACGUUGUUUCUGGCAGAGCUAAUGCAGUUCGAGCAUCUCGUACCAAUAAUUUACAGAAAGUUUGGUUAUUGCAUCGUCGGUUAGGACAUGCUUCAUUUGGUUAUUUGAGGCGUAUGUUGCCUAGUUUAUUUCAUGAAAUAAAAGAAUCAGACUUACAU
Malus domestica (apple) is the source of this 1991-nucleotide non-coding RNA. Lineage: Eukaryota; Viridiplantae; Streptophyta; Magnoliopsida; Rosales; Rosaceae. The record is from RefSeq and is a predicted model, not a curated record.